Puma concolor (puma) is the source of this 504-nucleotide non-coding RNA. The record is from the annotation of a RefSeq genome assembly. NCBI's taxonomy places the organism in Eukaryota, Metazoa, Chordata, Mammalia, Carnivora, Felidae.
UUCUGUGAUCAGCACAGAACACACACACACCUCACCAUGGAGUUUGUGCUGGGCUGGGUUUUCCUGGUUGCUCUUUUAAAAGGUGUCCAGUGUGACGUGCAGCUGGUGGAGUCUGGGGGAGACCUGGUGAAGCCUGGGGGGUCCCUGAGACUCACCUGUGUAGCCUCUGGAUUCACCUUCAGUAGCUAUGAAAUGAACUGGGUCCGCCAGGCUCCAGGGAAGGGGCUGCAGUGGGUCGCAUAUAUUAGUAGCAGUGGAGGUAGCACAUACUACGCAGACUCCGUGAAGGGCCGAUUCACCAUCUCCAGAGACAACUCCAAGAACACGCUGUAUCUGCAGAUGAACAACCUCAAGACCGAGGACACGGCCACAUAUUACUGUGCAAGAGACACAGGGCGGCUGGGAACUCCAACUGCAGGGACUAGAGGGGGAGUUGAUGCCAAUAUUUCCUCCCACCAAUCAUCAUGGACAGAGGUCAGUGAGCAGCACAGCACACCCCAGUAG